Molecule: long non-coding RNA, 4797 nt
Organism: Vespula vulgaris
Lineage: Eukaryota; Metazoa; Arthropoda; Insecta; Hymenoptera; Vespidae
Exons: 2
Source: RefSeq, a predicted model, not a curated record
GGCUGUUAAAAUUUUUUCCUCUUUUCCGAUGUCUUCCGAUUUCAAAGUUAUGUUUCUUCGAUCUAUCACAUCAAAUUUGUGCUUUCCUCGCAAUGUGUAACAAUUCCUUGAUUCGUUUAUAAUUUUAUUUAGGAAAUAAGUGAAAGAUUAAAAAAAGAACAGAUGAUGAAGUAUAUAUGUAAGUAUACUUAUCACAUCCUUUUUACGUAACAAGGAGACUCGUCAAGUGUAUUAGCUGAAACGCGGCCAUAGUUGAGCAACGAGGAAGGCCGUUACAUCGUAACGGCCACCGGUGUGUGCAGUACGGAAUGUGGAAUCGCGGAUGAAAAAACGUGUCACGAAUCCUUGACCUCCUCUCGUAUACACAAGGUGCUAGCCUAGGAGAGCACUUGGGCGAUCAACCACAAGAAAGAUGGCUUCCUAAAUACUUUUAGAUUCUUCAAUCCCUUUUUUCACUUAUAAUAGAGUUUCUUAGAGUAGGUACUGAACGGUUCUUCGAUGGAUACAGUUCCAUUUCUAAGAUCUACUGACGUGAAAAUGUUAUGAAAAAGGAAAGAUCGAUCAAUCUUACGAGAACUUGUUAUCUAUCUGUUAAAAAAAUGACGAUAAUUCAUGUGACGUUAUCGCGAUCGACCUUCUAAGAUCUAAUAUACAAAUCUGUAUAUUUAGAUCAAUAACGUUAUGGUUGCUCGUUGUGGUUGUAAUUUCAAAAUAAUAAGAUAGAUCGAAUUGAUCGGAGUAUUUUAUCGGUAAAUCAAAUGUCGUUUGUCUGUUUAAUUCUGGAUCGAUCGGAAUUUUAUGACGUUGCUUUUAUGUAGACAUUUGGCCCCAUUUUUUUCUUUUUAUUUUCCUUUCCUUUUCUUUUUCUCAACGUUUGAAUUGCGCCAACUCUCGCUUGCAAAAUAAUUGUGCGCAUUUAAACGAACGAAAAUCAGAAACGUAAAAAUGCGAGAAAAAUAAAUGAAAUCGGCACAUCAUAUUUCAAAGUUAAAAGAUACUCGAAUCUUGUAUGAGAAGUUACGAAUAACCGGCUGAACUCUGGCAUGCCAGGCUAGACGAUCCUUGACCUUCUGCCGCAUACCAAAGAAAUUCUGAAACAACGUUGUUUCUUACGCACGAAUGUAGGAGUUUCUUCUUAUUCUCAUCGCAACGAGGACAACGACCACCCACGAGAGAUAUACUUAUUUGAUAAAAUUAUUAUUUAUAAACAUAAAAAUAAUAAUCGAUCUAUUUUUCUGAUAGCGUCGUUGACUCGUUAUCGGAAAAAUAAAUAAAUAUCACGUGAAGGCAUAAAAAAAUUUUUUCGAUUAAAAAAACUACACUUAGUCCCUGCUUUUACUAAUUUAAAUUUCUCUUUCGUAAAGUAAGUAUUACUUAUAUUUCUUGAUAAAUGUAAUUCAAUUAAAAUGCCUUUCGCUUCCAUUGAAAUAAUUUUUUUUAUUGAAAAUCUUAAUAAUAUUAAAUAAAGAAUACAUUUUCUUAGUGUUAUAUGUAAUUUUCAAAAUUUUAAAAUCCAGAAAUUCGUGACGUAGAAGAAGAAACUACGUGUACUUCUGGAGAAAUACAUUCGUUGCUUACAACUUACAUACUUCCUGAUUACAACUUUAAACUUCCUGAUUACAAUUGAACUUCGUGCGAACGCAAGGAACCUCGUUGACAACCGAUUUGGAAAAUGAAGCAACGGACUUGGCGCGUUCGCCUUUCGAUAUAAUCGAUUUCCAUCACUUUGAAGUCUUCUUGACUGUGCUUCUACGAUAAGACUAGAAGGAAAGCAUGUUCGAUCGCAUAUUACUUGAAGGAAAAGAGAGAGAGAGAGAGAGAGAAAGAAAGAAAGAGCUCUUCUAUCUUCUACAUAUACUCUUACGUACUGCAUAAUGUGUAUUGUGAACAACGAGGUGAAGAUGUCAUCUAUUAGCCUGAUAUGUUGCAGGUUAACUUAUGGAAAGAUAUGACCGCUCCAAUGCCUUCUGAAAUUGAAUUACAUGCAUGGUGAUCCACGCGAAAGAGGUGACUACCUGUGCAUGCAGAAUGAGGACAUGUUAAGGCACUAUUUGUAUUACAUGUAACCUGGAGAACGUCUGGUUGGAUGCCAAGGAUAAAAGUAAGUAAGAUUCUCCAAACAAUCGUAAGAUUCACUCUGAUAUCUUACCUUAAUCUUCCUUUUUUUUUUAUUUUUAAUAAGAAAAAGAAGAAUAUUAUCGUAAUUUAAAAAAAUGGAAAACUACAUUAUUACACAUAUGUUAGAUUAAACUAUAAUUUAUUAGUAGAUAUAUGUUGUAUUUUUGCAACGUCAUGCAUUUAAUCUCGCUGUUAUCAUGAAUUUAUUAUAAAAAAUUAUAAUUAUUGUUUCUUUCGUAAAAAAAUUCUUUAUUCUUUGUAAAAUAUUUAUACUCACAAAGAUACAACAAUUCUUGUCAAAGCAGACGUUUAAAUAAUAGACGUUUAAUUAAAUCGAUAGGAUUAUAUAUGUAUUCGUAUCAUUCGAUUGGAAAGACAGGUUCUUUACAAUUUGAAAAUAAUAUGUUUUAUAAACAUGUUGCAUCCUGUGAGCCACGCGAGCAUGUAACAGCCUAACGGAAAGAUGUAUAGAGAAUGCGUGACAAGAAUCCAUGGUCUAUACAGACAGAUCUGUUUAGCUUCCGGUGUUUAUCGUAUCCUAACGAGCUUUGUAGUAGUCAGCCUUACAGAUAAGGAUAGCUCGUGAAUGAUACACCUCCCUUUCCUCUCCACACGUUACCUUUUAUGGACGUUUUACGAUAUACGUUUACAAGCGUACGCGUGCUGGGCGUCAGAUGAAUGAAUUUCCAUGUGGUACUACGUAAUCGUAUAUUCUAAGUAUUCAAAUGAAAGAAUCAAAUGAUUUCCUUUUUGUAUAAAAUUAACGACUUGGUAAGAAAAAAAAAGAAAAGAAAAAAAAGGAAGGAAGAAAGAAAAAAUGAAAAAAGAAAGAAAAAAGAAUGAAAAAUAAAGAUAACAAUUUUGUUUUCAAUCAUUACUAAAACGAACGAUCCAUGUAAAAUCGUGUUUGCACUCGAGCCAAUUACCGAAUGAAAUGGAAUUUAAUUAAACGAGCUCUUCGAAGUUUUUUCGUUUGAGUCUACCAAUAUCGUCUCCUCUUCCUGUUAUAUCUCUUCUUUCGUUUUUCCGUUUUGAUAAUCAACGCCUAUGGUGCAAUAAUGAUACAGCGACAACGACGACGACGACGACGACGACGACGCACGACAACUCAUAUGAAAGUACGAACACAUUGGAGUCCUAUGCAAAUGAAACUAUGUUGCACAUACCGAGACAUCGAUCGCGAUCGGGUAACGGUUUACCUGCAUGCAAUACGAACAUAGUGGAGUAUCGAUCAGUUCCCUUUCAUAAAGUACGCAUUACGUGCUUGGAAAACCGUUCGUUGUAUAAACUACCAACGUAUAACACGAUACGAUCCAUUCUCAAUACAAUUGUAAAUACAAGCAAGAUGGAAAUGAAUUGACUUGGCUGGAUGAAGCCAAAUGCCUGAUUUCCGCUUUGAACAUGUGUAUAGGAAUUAAACGUGUUCGAUUUUUUAAUGUAUAUAUCCUAUGUAAUCAAAGUAUAAAUAUUUUUAUAAUUAGUUAUAUGUCUAGAAUAUGAAGUUAAGAUGUUACAUCUUAGUAGGAUUUCUAUAAUAAAUGUAAUAAAUAGGAUGUAAUAAUGAAUAGAUUGUAAUAAUGAAAUUGUAAUAAAAUACAUAAUCCUGUAUAUAUAUUUAUAUAUACAUAUAUAUCAAAACCAUUGUUAGUAUCAAACAACCUGUUUCAAUCCGAAACUUACUCGACAAAAACAACAAAAGUUUGAAGUUAUAUUAUAAUUAUAAAAAUCAUGUGACUGUUAUUGACAUUAUUUCAGAAUCAUUUCUGUUUUGUAAGAGGAUAAGCAUACACCAUUCCGUAUUUCACCGAAGGCCCUUUUCCUUUUUUCCUUGCACCCUCUUCUUUCUGCCGAUGGCAGAUGCUCUGCUAUAAUAGUUUCUAUUUUUGGUUAGUAGAAGGGUCGGUCCGUCCGUCCGUUCGAAUCUACGAUCAUCUUGCAUGGAUACAGAUGUUUCUUCUAGGGCAGCCCUCGAAGCUGAAGAGAAAUAGCAGGAAUGGGAAAAAUAUCAGGCCUGGAGACGAUAGAAAAACGAAGGGUAUGAGCUCACAUUGCGGAUAGAUAAACAGUCACGUAGAAGCGAAUGAAGGAGAAGGAACAAAAAGCGACGGGAGAGAAGAAUACUGGCGGAGUGGCACGACUUUUGUCGAUCGAACCUAAGACUCUUCAUUCUCCCUUAAAACGGUCCUUGGAUCACGAGACUUUUCCUCCUCAACAUCUCUCGACUCUUUUUAUAAGAUAGAAGUCGAAUUGUGGAGAAAAUAAAAAGUAAUUUCUAGAAGAUACUUCUCAACGUGAAGGAACUUAAAGAUAGAAGAAUUUAACGACCUGGCAUAUAAGGAAAUUUACUAUUAUAAGAUAUUAUAAAUAUUACAAAUUUGUUAGUUCUUAAAGAUCAUAAUCGCAGAUUACUAGUUAUUAAGUUAAAUGUUAUAAAGGAAGGACGGACUAUUUACAAAAUAAAUUUUGUUUACUUCGCUCGCUAAUUUCAGAAACAAAAUGGUUCGCCCUUCCUUUACAUCAAUAUUAUACUGUAUUAUAUUAUAUUAUAUAAUAUUAUAUAUAUAAAAACAAUAGUAUAAUAUAUAUGAAAAAGUAAACAUUUGUAUUAGUAUCAAAAACAAUGUAUUUACUAUGAAUUAAUAAAAUUCAAAAUAAAAAUGUUCAUGCUAAAAAAGAAAA